GACAUCAUUCUUUCUCAUUUAGUGACAGCAGAUGGUAAACAUGAGGGAUUUUCUAACUCAACAGUUUCUUGGGUUGUGAUAUUUCAUUCAUGCAGGUGACGCACAAACAACAACAACAACUGAAAACACAAAAUCAGUUACAGCCACAACAACAACUAAUGAUACUUCAACAAAACUACAAGCUCGUACAGAUUGUUCUGCUCUGGACUACAUAAUGUUGGUUAUGCGUGUGGCUGAACUCCUCCUAAUUACUGUGAUUACUGUUCUUCUCAUCAGAGCUCGAGAGACUACCUGACAACAACACAGUGACCUACAGCAGCGUGAAAGCUUCCUCUUCUUCUGCU
Long non-coding RNA from Micropterus salmoides (largemouth bass), 344 nucleotides. RefSeq lists it as uncharacterized. The record is from RefSeq and is a predicted model, not a curated record. The transcript is spliced from 3 exons. NCBI's taxonomy places the organism in Eukaryota, Metazoa, Chordata, Actinopteri, Centrarchiformes, Centrarchidae.